UACCACACUGAAAAGGUCACCUGCCUUUGGGCCCCUGCUACAUUAAUGGACUUGGUGGAACUAGGCCAGCGAAGGUUUUCAGUAGAGUGCUUUGUGGAUGCUGGUCCAUUGAUGGCUGAACUGCUGGUCCCUUCCCAGUGGAAAACCCCAGAGAUGAGCCAAAUCUGCCUUCAGCUGUGGCCAUCCA
Molecule: non-coding RNA, 187 nt
Organism: Leptonychotes weddellii (Weddell seal)
Lineage: Eukaryota; Metazoa; Chordata; Mammalia; Carnivora; Phocidae
Source: RefSeq, a predicted model, not a curated record